GACGAACGCUGGCGGCAGGCCUAACACAUGCAAGUCGAACGCCCGUAGCAAUACGGGAGUGGCAGACGGGUGAGUAACGCGUGGGAACGUGCCCUUCGGUUCGGAAUAACUCAGGGAAACUUGAGCUAAUACCGGAUACGUCCGUAAGGAGAAAGAUUUAUCGCCGAAGGAUCGGCCCGCGUCGGAUUAGCUAGUUGGUGAGGUAAUGGCUCACC
Molecule: ribosomal RNA, 215 nt
Filed under: uncultured bacterium
Lineage: Bacteria
Description: partial 16S ribosomal RNA
Rfam family: Bacterial small subunit ribosomal RNA
Source: RNAcentral